RNAcentral lists this transfer RNA (57 nucleotides) under Ovis aries (sheep). It matches the Rfam family "tRNA", at positions 8 to 63 of the family's 71-position model. Rfam says of the family: Transfer RNA (tRNA) molecules are approximately 80 nucleotides in length. Their secondary structure includes four short double-helical elements and three loops (D, anti-codon, and T loops). RNAcentral also lists the same sequence under 1 other name. The record is from Rfam by way of RNAcentral. Lineage: Eukaryota; Metazoa; Chordata; Mammalia; Artiodactyla; Bovidae.
UGGCUCAGACAGUAAAGCAUCUGCCUGCAAUGCAGGAGACCCAGGUUUGAUCCCUGG